RNAcentral lists this transfer RNA (72 nucleotides) under Bos taurus (domestic cattle). It matches the Rfam family "tRNA". Rfam says of the family: Transfer RNA (tRNA) molecules are approximately 80 nucleotides in length. RNAcentral also lists the same sequence under 2 other names. Lineage: Eukaryota; Metazoa; Chordata; Mammalia; Artiodactyla; Bovidae. The record is from Rfam by way of RNAcentral.
UCCCUCAUAGCUCAGUUGGUAAAGAAUCUGCCUGCAGUACAGGAGACCUGGGUUCGAUUCCCAGAUUGGGAA